This 422-nucleotide ribosomal RNA is filed under the name uncultured archaeon. Its description in RNAcentral is "partial 16S ribosomal RNA". It matches the Rfam family "Archaeal small subunit ribosomal RNA", at positions 323 to 746 of the family's 1478-position model. The record is from RNAcentral.
CUACGGGUGGCAGCAGCCGCGAAACCUUUACAAUGCACGAAAGUGUGAUAAGGGAAUCCAGAGUGCUUACCUUCUGGGUAGGCUUUUGUUAAGCGUAAAUAACUCAACGAAUAAGUGGUGGGAAAUACCGGUGCCAGCAGCCGCGGUAACACCGGAGCCACAAGUGGCAAUCACGUUUAUUGGGCUUAAAGGGUCCGUAGCCGACUUACUAAAUCUUUUGUGAAAUUGUUUGACUCAAUCAAACAGAUUGCAAGAGAGACUGGUAGGUUAGAGACCGGGAAGAGACAGAGGUAUUCCUUGGGAAGCGGUAAAAUGCUUUAAUCCUUGGAGGACCACCAAUGGCGAAGGCAUCUGUCUAGAACGGGUCUGACGGUGAGGGACGAAAGCUAGGAGAACGAUCGGGAUUAGAUACCCCUGUAGUC